CUUGAGCGAGCCCAGCCACAAAGGCGCUUCCGCGUCCCGCCCGGCGCCGUAGGUCGCCAGCAGCGCCUGCGCCUC
This 75-nucleotide antisense RNA is filed under the name Streptomyces oceani. Its description in RNAcentral is "Streptomyces sp. SCSIO 02100 ASpks TB sRNA". It matches the Rfam family "ASpks TB sRNA". The record is from Rfam by way of RNAcentral. Lineage: Bacteria; Bacillati; Actinomycetota; Actinomycetes; Kitasatosporales; Streptomycetaceae.